AUUUAAGUUUUAACUGAAAAUUGUUUUUAAAUAUUUUGUAUUAAGAAUAAAGUUGUUCAGAUAGUUAUUGUUUGAUUGUUUCCGUUACUGACUUAUUCAUUAUUUUCCAAAUACUCGUUAUCAUAUACAGAUUUUCGUUCUAAUUAUGAUUGCAAUACAGCAGACAAUAAAAGCCAUGGUGAGACAUGAAUUCGCGAUUAUAUCAGUUUGGAAAAUAUAAACAUCCUAUGAUGAAAAUGGACUAGAAGAUACUGAUAAUAAUAAUUGUUUUAUUCAACAUGGCAAUACAGCAGAUGACUCAAGGAAUGCUGAGACAUUUAUUUGUAUGCAUACAACUUUGGGAAUGUAUGAACAUCCAAUGUUGAAAAUGAACUAAAAGAUACUGAUUAUAAAGAAUUUAUGCAAUGUACGUGUAAUGGUUAUUAGAUGCAAAUACAGCAGAUCAUUAAAGGGAUGCUGAAACAUUAUUUGGUAUUCAAACAACUCUGGAAAAGUAUGAACAUCCAAUUUUGAAAAUGAACUAACGAAUACUGAUUAUAAUGAAUUUAUGCAAUUUACAUAUUGCAAUACAGCAGACAAUGAAAGCCAUGGUGAGACAUGAAUUCGCGAUUAUAUCAGUUUGGAAAAUAUAAACAUCCUAUGAUGAAAAUGGACUAGAAGAUACUGAUAAUAAUAAUUGUUUUAUUCAACAUGGCAAUACAGCAGAUGACUCAAGGAAUGCUGAGACAUUUAUUUGUAUGCAUACAACUUUGGGAAUGUAUGAACAUCCAAUGUUGAAAAUGAACUAAAAGAUACUGAUUAUAAAGAAUUUAUGCAAUGUACGUGUAAUGGUUAUUAGGUAUAGUUGAUAGAAAAUUAAUAGCAAUGUAUCUAAAAGUUACUCAAAUGCUUCCCUGACUAUAAUAUUAAUUAAAUUAUUUAAUUUAUUAUUAUUAACUUGCAUACAUUUCAUUUAAGCAGAU
Molecule: long non-coding RNA, 962 nt
Organism: Rhopalosiphum padi (bird cherry-oat aphid)
Lineage: Eukaryota; Metazoa; Arthropoda; Insecta; Hemiptera; Aphididae
Exons: 6
Source: RefSeq, a predicted model, not a curated record